RNAcentral lists this ribosomal RNA (208 nucleotides) under uncultured bacterium. RNAcentral describes it as "partial 16S ribosomal RNA". It matches the Rfam family "Bacterial small subunit ribosomal RNA", at positions 568 to 774 of the family's 1533-position model. The record is from RNAcentral.
UGCGUAGGCGGCCGCUUAAGUAGGGUGUGAAAUGUCCCGGCUCAACCGGGGAAUGGCGCUCUAAACUGGGUGGCUCGAGUGAGAUAGAGGUGUGCGGAACUUCCGGUGGAGCGGUGAAAUGUGUUGAUAUCGGAGGGAACACCAUUGGCGAAAGCGGCACACUGGGUCUUAACUGACGCUGAGGCACGAAAGCCAGGGGAAGCAAACG